RNAcentral lists this long non-coding RNA (4688 nucleotides) under Fukomys damarensis (Damara mole-rat). RNAcentral's name for it is "lncRNA (ENSFDAG00000030409.1)". The record is from RNAcentral. Lineage: Eukaryota; Metazoa; Chordata; Mammalia; Rodentia; Bathyergidae.
GGCUGGUGUUAUUCCUGGUCUUCAUCCCCACAGUUACCUGGCAGGCCCUGCCCCAGCCAAACCUGAAUAAGUCUGGACAGAUCUCCAGACUCAGAGCAUCUCACCGGCUCUUUGUUUCAGCUGCUGGAGCCACACUAUGUGGGCACACUCCCCGUCCCCCAGAGUCUGGCAAGGGACCUGGCACUCCGAGACGCCCCUCUGUCUGCUCCCGCCCGCUGCAACCACCACAGGCCACGAAAAGGCAGGCAAGGUCCAUUUUUAAAUUCCCUUAGAACUUUCACAACCACAGGUUUGGGUGAGGAGACAACACCUCUCUAGUUUGCUGACACGAAACUAAAAAUACCCAGCUGCGAACAAAAAGCCAUCUUUCACAGGGCUGGCUGGGACGCAGACGUUCCAUGUGGUCACUCGGGACAGGGCCUUGGCAGCGUGGCCACCGCUCAGGCUCAGGCCCGGCAGGCACAGGGCCCUGUGUCCCCUGGCUGUCAAGGAAUCCGGGGCAGCAGCCCUGCCUGCUGAGCAGGGAACAGCGUUAUUCCUGCCAUCUGUCCAGACACAGGCUUGAGGGCUCCGGAGCUGACUGCUGGAAGGGUGAGGUCACAGCCAAGACUCUGCUCCAGGACAUCAGAGGGCACCAGCCCGGAGUGCACCCCCGGAGACGUGGACGCUGGCUGCAGCCGACGCUGACCACGAAUCACCUUUCAGGAGAAGAAAGUCGCGCUCCUCGGAUGUGUGCAGGUACAAAGUGGGCCGAGCUUUCACAAGUGGACACAGACAUACACAACCUCCAUCACCACUACCAAGGCACAGGCACUUGCGGCACCGGAGCGCUCCCUCCUGCCCCCAACCCUGACCCAGCCCAGCAACCACGACCAACUUCACCUGGGUCUCUUUGCCUUUUCUGGAACUUUGCUCAGUAGGAUCUUACUGUCCGAAGCCUGCCAGGUCUGGCCCCUCAGAGGCAGUGAAAUUAUUUUGAAGCCCCUUCAUUUCGGUGAGAUGUUAAUAUUGCAUUUCUUUUUAUGGCUGAGUUGUACUGUGUACUUACUCCUGGGUGGUGGGUAUCACUGAACACCUUAUACACAGCUACCGAUCCUCACAUCGAUGGUACGGGACACACGUUACCCUUACCCACAGCUGACAAACAGCCUCGUAAAGAUCAAGAGAUUCAAGUCAGGUGUGGGGGUGCAGGCCUGAAAGCCCAGCAUUGGGGAGGCUGAGACAGGAGGGUCACUGCAAGUUCAAGGCCACCCUGGGCUAUGAAGUAGUUCAAGACCAGCCUGGACUGCAUGGUGAGACUCUGACUCCAAUAAAUGAAAAUUAAAAAAAGACCAAGGAACUCCUUCCCAUUCACACAGCCUGAGUGUUCCCCGGGCAGCAUCUGAAGCAAGGCCCUUGUUCUGGAUCUCAUCGGCUGCAUCCUCACAAACGCACACCCACAGCGCCCCCUCCAGGCUCCUGAGCAGGAUCAACCCCUCACGGGGGGCGGGGGCGGGGGCGGGGGCAGGGCAGAGAAGCUCCGAGUGGGGGCAGCAAGCAGGGGCCGCAGAUCGCUGACUUUCAGAGAGCCCUUCCUUCCUGCACGCCAGCGCCGUCAGUGAGGGGCACACAAUCUCCACCUUUGUCUUUCAUUCCCGGCCGUGAGCAGCCAGGCCCGGCAGUCCUUUAGGACCCUGGUUCUAGAUGAAAGGGCCCUCUGUGCGCCUGACCCCCAGCAGCAGACAGGCAGGAAGUGCGGAAAGAGGGAGUCACCCAAGCACUGGGCAGCGGAGAUCCGCCCCUAAGCAACGCGGGGGGCUGGGGUACACGUGAGGUGUGGACCCUGAAAUGUGAAGCCCUGGAUGUCAAAGGAAAGUGAGCGAAGAGAAACUGUAAAGACAAAGGUGGAGGAAAAUGCUCAAUGGGAAAGGAGAGGAGGGCCAGGGGCUUAACUUCUUCGCUGUACAUAAAAAGAGCUUGGGAACAAGUAAACCUUGUUAGCAAGUGGGCAAAAGAGGAAAACAGGACUGUUCUCAAAGGAGAGGCGACAGGAUAAUAAAAUCCGGGGUCACAUUCAAUUUCAGGGGUCAGAGAGGCAGACCAAACAGUAAGACACCUCUUUCUCUUCUUCUGUCUCUCUCUUUUUUUUUUUUUUUUCCUUGAGACAGUGUCUCACUAUGUGGUUCAUGCUGGACUUGAACCCACUAUACAGCCUAAGCUGGUCUCAAACUCACAGAGAUCUUCCUGGCUCAGCCUCCCAAGUGCUGGGGUUACAGGCCUGCACCACUGCACUGUUGCUCGAACAUCACUUUAAGUCUAUCCACGUAGCAAAGACUAUUGCUAAAUAAUACGUUGCCUUUGAUGCCAAGGAGGAUGCAAUGGGAAGAGACAUGCCCGUGCCCUGCUGGGAGAAGCAAGCAGAACAAGCCCUUUGGAAGGUGUCUUAGUCACUUUCUCCAUGCCUGGGACAAAAUACCUGACACCCAGACACUUACCUUGGCUCACACUUUGUACAGGUUUCAGUCCAGAGUCAGCUGGCUCAGGGGCCUGGCGGAGGAGAGCUGCUCACUGCAUGGGGCACAGGAAGCAGAGAGAGAUCAAGGGAGGAGCCGGGGAGGGAGACAGAACCUUCCAGGCCACACCCACAGGGACCCCUCUUCAGUCCAGACCCUGCACCCUGCCUCAUGUCAUCCAGUCACCCUCUGAAAGCUUUGGGGACAUCCACUCUCAGCCAUAACAAGGCCCUCACCAGCAGUGGCUGAGGCUCAGCUGUGGGUUUAGGGACAGUGGACUUUGGACACAGGCAGACCCAAAUUUGCCAUUGCUGAGUCUGUCACCUAACUUUUUUUUUUAAAUAUUGAAUACCAGAGAGAUCAAACUCAGGUCCCUGCACUUGCAAGGCAGGCGGCAAAACCACCGAGCUAAAUCCCCAGCCCUGUCACCUAACAUCUUAAAGUCUCCAUUUCCUUGAGUGUAAAAAGGGAGUAACAGGGUGAGGGAUUUAGCUCAGUGGCACUGCAUCUGCCUCACAAGCGCAAGGUCCUGAGUUCAAUCCCUGGUACCAGAAGGGAAAAAACAAAACAGGAAUGAUGAUCCCUACAGGAGACCUGCACAAAUCUAAGUCAGACCAGUCAGAGGUGCCCACUGCAGACACUAAAGCAGAAGCCAGACUGCUCAGAAGCAGAGGCCCAUUUGAGUGAUGGCAGCGACCAAACACAGCACCCAGAAGCAGUGGUCUUGCAGGACUGGUCAUGUCUGGGACUCUGCAGGCCUGCUUCCUGUGGUUGUUUGAGCUGAAACCCAGCCCUGCUGUCAUUUCUCUGGGCUGCCCAUCACCAAUAAAGCCCUUUUUUCCCUACUCAUAUUUUCUGUUGUUUGCAGCUAAAGCCCUCGGCCACUCAGAGCACAGAGCAGGUGGAGAGGCAGACCUUGUAGACCAGGAGACCCUGUGGCCAUGUUGCCAGUGUCCAAGGGCAUCGGGCUGAUUUCUCCCCCUUUGAUGGCCCCUACGUACCAGGCAGUAAACAACAAUGAAGGAUGCCAACGGUCAGCCCAGGCAAGCGGCUUUCUACCAUUCUUGGUCUUUGGUCUCCUUGGCAUGCCCAGGUCUGAUGGGGGUUGAGCUGCGAGCUGGGCAGGAGUCAGGAGGCCCAUGCUCGAUAGCUGUGCCAAUAAACUGUGUACCCUAAAUUCAUACACUGACCUCACCGUCAAUGUGACUAUUUGGAGAUUGGGUCUUUAAGGUGGUGAGGUAGUGAGGUUGAAGGUGGGGUCCUAGCCCAGGAGGCCGGUGUUCUCCUUAGAGGAGGAGGACCAGGACACACACAGUCUCUCUCCCUGUCUCUGUCUGUCUCUCUCUCUCCCUCUGAACACACACAGAGAGAGGCCACAGGAGGACACAGCAAGAAGAAAGCCAACUACAAGCCUCACCAGAAGCCGACCCUGCCAGAACUCAGUCUCUACAGCUGUGGGAAAAUGAAUACUGUUUAAGCUGCCCAGUUGGUGGUAUUUUGCCACGUAAGUCCAAGCAGGCUAAUACUGUGUCUGUGGGCAACUGGCUUUGUAGAGGAGAUCUGUCUCACUGGGGCUCCCCAGCAUCCUGCAGCAUCCUACAUACCAGUCCUUUCCACUCAAGAACAAGGUGCCUUCUCCCAGCAUCCCUUGCAGCUAAGAUGCAGCAUGUGACCAAGGCCCGGCCAAUCAGACACCACGCUGUGUGGGGAGAGCCCAGGCAGAAUGGUAUGGCUCUUAGUGGGGAGAAUCUUCCCUGGGUUCUGCCAGCUUCUGAUGGCUUCAGGCAGGCAUUCUUUGGUUUAUGGCACAAGAGUCUAAUCUCUGCCUUGGUCUUUAUGUGGCUUUCUCUGGUCAAGUCCUUUUCUAGCACUUAUAAGGACUUUUGUAAAGACACUUUUUCCAAAGAAGAUCACAUUCACAAGCCCCCAGGGUUGGGACAUGAACAUAGAUUUCAAUGGACACCAUUGGACCUGUGACAGACAGAAAUGGUGAUGUUCUCGGGCAGCCCUUGAGACUCUUGUUUCCGGUUAAUAGUCAAGGACCUCUUCUCCCACCCUCCUGGGAUUUCUGUGAGCUACCCAACAGCCUCAAAAACACUCAUGCUCUCUCUCUCUCUCUCUCUCUCUCUCUCUCUCUCUCUCUGAGUUGUUAGUGGUGUGGCUUCCUUUAACAAAGAACUCACUCUGAUCCUUGAC